UUCCGUGCAUGAAUUCUCCUUCGCCUAAGCUCGAUCUUUCAUCAGAAUCCUCCACCUAGAUUAUCUUUGCCUUCGAGCUUCUUCAAAGGACUUAUCUUUGCCUUCAACUCCUUCAAAGUACUCGGCGUGAAAAGUAGAGAGAUGAAGAACCUUGAGAAGUAAAAUUUGUUUCAAUAAUCCAUAAACUUUCAAUUGAAUUUCUCAAGUACGCAUAAGUCUUCCUUCGAUAAUCAAGAGAUGUAUUCUUGUCACUCAAGCCGUAAUUUCUCUCACUAGAAAAUAGAAAUGAUCUCAUGAGCUCUCACUAGGUCUACAGCCUUCCCCUGUCUCUAUAUGAUGCUCCUUGAAGUGUUGAAUUACCAAAAAAGGUAUGAACAAAAUCAGUUAGCCAACAAAUCGACGGUCGGUCGUCUGAUCCGUCAAAAGCACACUUGAGCAAAAUCAUCUAGCUAACAGACCGACUCAAUCGGCCAGAUCCG
This 479-nucleotide long non-coding RNA is filed under the name Actinidia chinensis (golden kiwifruit). RNAcentral describes it as "long non-coding RNA (ACHI_LNC007473)". Lineage: Eukaryota; Viridiplantae; Streptophyta; Magnoliopsida; Ericales; Actinidiaceae. The record is from RNAcentral.